Molecule: ribosomal RNA, 1344 nt
Filed under: uncultured bacterium
Lineage: Bacteria
Description: bacterial SSU rRNA
Rfam family: Bacterial small subunit ribosomal RNA
Source: RNAcentral
AACGCUAGCGGCAGGCUUAACACAUGCACUUCGAGGGGCAGCGGGGAGGAAGCUUGCUUUCUCCGCCGGCGACCGGCGCACGGGUGAGUAACACGUAUGCAACCUGCCCCUGUCAGGGGGACAACCCGCCGAAAGGCGGGCUAAACCCGCGUACAUGCCACCGGGGCAUCCCGGAGGCAGGAAAGGCUUCGGCCGGACAGGGAUGGGCAUGCGGCGCAUUAGGCAGUAGGCGGGGUAACGGCCCACCUAACCGACGAUGCGUAGGGGUUCUGAGAGGAAGGUCCCCCACACUGGUACUGAGACACGGACCAGACUCCUACGGGAGGCAGCAGUGAGGAAUAUUGGUCAAUGGUCGGGAGACUGAACCAGCCAAGCCGCGUGAGGGAGGAAGGUACAGAGUAUCGUAAACCUCUUUUGUCAGGGAACAAAGACUGGGACGCGUCCCCGGAUGAGUGUACCUGAAGAAAAAGCAUCGGCUAACUCCGUGCCAGCAGCCGCGGUAAUACGGAGGAUGCGAGCGUUAUCCCGGAUUUAUUGGGUUUAAAGGGUGCGCAGGCGGUCUGUUAAGUCAGCGGUCAAAGCCCGGGGCUCAACCCCGGCCCGCCGUUGAAACUGGCAGUCUCGAGUUGGAGAGAAGUAUGCGGAAUGCGCGGUGUAGCGGUGAAAUGCAUAGAUAUCGCGCAGAACUCCGAUUGCGAAGGCAGCAUGCCGGCUCCACACUGACGCUGAGGCACGAAAGCGUGGGUAUCGAACAGGAUUAGAUACCCUGGUAGUCCACGCAGUAAACGAUGAAUGCUGGCUGUCCGGGGGGACUGACCCCUGGGUGGCGAAGCGAAAGCGAUAAGCAUUCCACCUGGGGAGUACGCCGGCAACGGUGAAACUCAAAGGAAUUGACGGGGGCCCGCACAAGCGGAGGAACAUGUGGUUUAAUUCGAUGAUACGCGAGGAACCUUACCCGGGCUCAAACGGGGAGUGCCGCAGGCAGAGACGCCUGUUUCCCACGGGACACUCCCCGAGGUGCUGCAUGGUUGUCGUCAGCUCGUGCCGUGAGGUGUCGGCUUAAGUGCCAUAACGAGCGCAACCCCCGCGUGCAGUUGCUAACAGAUAACGCUGAGGACUCUGCACGGACUGCCGGCGCAAGCCGCGAGGAAGGCGGGGAUGACGUCAAAUCAGCACGGCCCUUACGUCCGGGGCGACACACGUGUUACAAUGGGUGGUACAGCGGGAAGCCAGGCGGCGACGCCGAGCGGAACCCGAAAUCCACUCUCAGUUCGGAUCGGAGUCUGCAACCCGACUCCGUGAAGCUGGAUACGCUAGUAAUCGCGCAUCAGCCAUGGCGCGGUG